This 460-nucleotide ribosomal RNA is filed under the name uncultured bacterium. RNAcentral's name for it is "partial 16S ribosomal RNA". It matches the Rfam family "Bacterial small subunit ribosomal RNA", at positions 338 to 795 of the family's 1533-position model. The record is from RNAcentral.
CCUACGGGAGGCUGCAGUGAGGAAUAUUGGUCAAUGGCCGGAAGGCUGAACCAGCCAAGCCGCGUGAAGGACGAAGGUGCCACGCAUUGUAAACUUCUUUUGUCAAGGGACAAAAUCAGGCUCGAGAGCCUGACCGAGGGUACUUGAAGAAAAAGCAUCGGCUAACUCCGUGCCAGCAGCCGGGGUAAUACGGAGGAUGCGAGCGUUAUCCGGAUAUAUUGGGUUUAAAGGGUGCGUAGGCGGGCUGUUAAGUCAGCGGUAAAAGCCCGGGGCUCAACCGCGGAACCGCUUUGGAAACUGCGAGGCUUGAGUGCUGGAGAGGUAAGCGGAAUUCCUGGUGUAGCGGUGAAAUGCGUAGAUAUCAGGAGGAACACCGGUGGCGAAGGCGGCCUACUGGACAGUGACUGACGUUGAGGCUCGAAAGCGUGGGGAGCGAACAGGAUUAGAUACCCUUGUAGUC